This 371-nucleotide ribosomal RNA is filed under the name uncultured bacterium. Its description in RNAcentral is "bacterial SSU rRNA". It matches the Rfam family "Bacterial small subunit ribosomal RNA", at positions 29 to 402 of the family's 1533-position model. The record is from RNAcentral.
AUUGAACGCUGGCGGCAUGCCUUACACAUGCAAGUCGAACGGCAGCACGGGAGCAAUCCUGGUGGCGAGUGGCGAACGGGUGAGUAAUACAUCGGAACGUGCCCAGUAGUGGGGGAUAACCCGGCGAAAGCCGGACUAAUACCGCAUACGACCUACGGGUGAAAGCAGGGGAUCGCAAGACCUUGCGCUAUCGGAGCGGCCGAUGUCAGAUUAGCUAGUUGGUGGGGAAAAGCCCACCAAGGCGACGAUCUGUAGCUGGUCUGAGAGGACGACCAGCCACACUGGGACUGAGACACGGCCCAGACUCCUACGGGAGGCAGCAGUGGGGAAUUUUGGACAAUGGGCGCAAGCCUGAUCCAGCCAUGCCGCGU